UGCUGCCCUCUGGCCAUGCUGUAUCAUAUAACCUUUCUUCUCCUAUUUAUAUAUGAUGGGAACCAUUUUUUUAGGCGGUUGUGCAUCUGCCUGAUCACCUGCUUAUUGCGUCAGGAAAGAAUCUUUCCGAUCAGGCCAAAUUGCCUGAUGCCCGGACAGAGUUUCCUGUUGGCCUAUACCAGCUGCAAAUUGUGACACCAACCUCUCCCACCUCUGCUGCGCUGGCUAAGCAGAACACCACUGAAGAGCUGCCUGUGAAACUUGC
Mauremys mutica (yellowpond turtle) is the source of this 265-nucleotide long non-coding RNA. RefSeq lists it as uncharacterized. NCBI's taxonomy places the organism in Eukaryota, Metazoa, Chordata, Testudines, Geoemydidae. The record is from RefSeq and is a predicted model, not a curated record. The transcript is spliced from 3 exons.